This 477-nucleotide ribosomal RNA is filed under the name Pasteurellaceae bacterium canine oral taxon 080. RNAcentral's name for it is "bacterial SSU rRNA". It matches the Rfam family "Bacterial small subunit ribosomal RNA", at positions 9 to 475 of the family's 1533-position model. Lineage: Bacteria; Pseudomonadati; Pseudomonadota; Gammaproteobacteria; Pasteurellales; Pasteurellaceae. The record is from RNAcentral.
GAGUUUGAUCAUGGCUCAGAUUGAACGCUGGCGGCAGGCUUAACACAUGCAAGUCGAACGGUAGCAGGAGAAAGCUUGCUUUCUUGCUGACGAGUGGCGGACGGGUGAGUAAUGCUUGGGAAUCUGGCUUAUGGAGGGGGAUAACUACUGGAAACGGUAGCUAAUACCGCGUAAUAUCGAGAGAUUAAAGACUGGGACCUACGGGCCAGUUGCCAUAAGAUGAGCCCAAGUGGGAUUAGGUAGUUGGUGGGGUAAAGGCCUACCAAGCCCGCGAUCUCUAGCUGGUCUGAGAGGAUGACCAGCCACACUGGAACUGAGACACGGUCCAGACUCCUACGGGAGGCAGCAGUGGGGAAUAUUGCACAAUGGGGGGAACCCUGAUGCAGCCAUGCCGCGUGAAUGAAGAAGGCCUUCGGGUUGUAAAGUUCUUUCGGUGGUGAGGAAGGUAUCAACUUUAAUAGAGUUGGUAAUUGACGU